This 73-nucleotide transfer RNA is filed under the name Pseudonocardiales bacterium. Its description in RNAcentral is "tRNA-Asn". It matches the Rfam family "tRNA". Rfam says of the family: Transfer RNA (tRNA) molecules are approximately 80 nucleotides in length. Their secondary structure includes four short double-helical elements and three loops (D, anti-codon, and T loops). Lineage: Bacteria; Bacillati; Actinomycetota; Actinomycetes; Pseudonocardiales. The record is from RNAcentral.
UGACCUGUAGCUCAACCGGAAGAGCACCCGGCUGUUACCCGGGCUUGUGCUGGUUCGAAUCCAGCUAGGUCAG